RNAcentral lists this unclassified non-coding RNA (314 nucleotides) under plant metagenome. RNAcentral describes it as "partial contains 5.8S ribosomal RNA, internal transcribed spacer 2, and large subunit ribosomal RNA". The stretch from base 1 to 105 matches the Rfam family "5.8S ribosomal RNA", at positions 50 to 154 of the family's 154-position model. The record is from RNAcentral.
GACAUGCGAUAAUUAAUGUGAAUUGCAGAAUUCAGUGAAUCAUCGAGUCUUUGAACGCACAUUGCGCCCCCUGGUAUUCCGGGGGGCAUGCCUGUCCGAGCGUCAUUGCUGCCCUCAAGCACGGCUUGUGUGUUGGGCUUCCGUCCCUGGCAACGGGGACGGGCCCAAAAGGCAGUGGCGGCACCAUGUCUGGUCCUCGAGCGUAUGGGGCUUUGUCACCCGCUCCCGUAGGUCCAGCUGGCAGCUAGCCUCGCAACCAAUCUUUUUAACCAGGUUGACCUCGGAUCAGGUAGGGAUACCCGCUGAACUUAAGC